CAACUUUACUCUGAAAGCCAGCAGCCUGAGAAGACAGCAAGCUCAUGGCCCCCAAAGAACCAUCUUGCCUGAGUUAAGACUUCAGGCUCCUUUUAUACUAAAAGGGAGGCAUAAAGUCAAACACUUCCUGGUUCCCAUCAGUCUCUGGAGGGGAUAUGUUAGUUUCUUACUUCCUGCAGGCAGGUGGGGCCUAGUCCGGAAAUUUCCUGUGAGCUAAACAAAGGUAUUUUUUUUUAAUUAAUUAAUUUUUUUGUUGAAGCUUCAUGUUCAUUACCUGGGAGGCAGUUUCCUAGAGAUGAGUCGUUAUGUGUAAUUUAAGCUUAUAGGCAACACCUCUUUAGUGAUUAACUUAUAAUAGAAUACAAAAGGUUUUUCCCCAUCACACUUGCUGUUAUGGAAACAGAAUAGAUGUGCGGAGUGGGGCAGGGAGGCUGGCAUCUUGGGUGUCCCCUUGGCAAGUUCAGGGUUCUCCUGACAAAGCUGAGACCUUGAUAAUCAUCCAUGAGACAUUCCAGCAUGUUGUGAUUUCCAGCACGUCGGUUAGAUAGCUAAUUGACUCUGGCUGCUUCCAGAGGAAGGGAGGAAAAGCAAGUGACUUAUGUUUUGUUGCUACCAAUACUCCCUGCGGUCGUGUCCCAUGGAGUCCAGUUUCAGGAGGACAGGGUACCCGGGGACCCGAGGUGAUACCUGCAGGAGUCGGGGUCGUGGGGGAGCUGUGACCUCAGACGAGUGGGCUCCCGGGGGCCCAGGACAACUGCAUUUCACCACCCUGACUGUGUCCUUCAAGAUGAGACCCUGGCAGAGAAGGCUAAGGGUGUGUGUACUCUCAUUGAACAUCAUUUUCUCCUUCACAAAAACAAAGGCUCACUGUCCCCAAGGAGGCCGGAAGUUGGGCGGACCCCAGCGGUUAGCAGAGGCCUCCAGCUCACCUGGGUAUGGAUGUGGGGACAGAGACACGGUAGCCUUUAGGAUCACGGAAUGAAACUCGGGAGAUUCCCCAAGCAGGCCCCAACAGAGAUGGAGGGCUGACCAGACUCUCUUCUCCAAACGAUUUUUCUUCCUUCUCUCAACUGCUGUAGAAGCAAGAUUGUCUGGGAUGCGAGUGGAGCUCUGGGGAGAAAAGAAACCCAUAUANNNNNNNNNNNNNNNNNNNNNNNNNNNNNNNNNNNNNNNNNNNNNNNNNNNNUCCUUCACAAAAACAAAGGCUCACUGUCCCCAAGGAGGCUGGAAGUUGGGCGGACCCCAGCGGUCCUGAAAUUCUAGAUUUGGUUCAGUCCACCAGUAAAAAUGACAAACUACUUCAUCCUGGAAUGGAUAUUUUGCAAAUCUGUGAAUGUGAUCUACUGGUGAGCUAAGUUGUACAUAUAUUAUAUGCUAAUGGUAUAUGAGUCAGCAUUGCUGCAGGAAGAA
RNAcentral lists this long non-coding RNA (1410 nucleotides) under Capra hircus (goat). Its description in RNAcentral is "lncRNA (ENSCHIG00010023502.1)". The record is from RNAcentral. Lineage: Eukaryota; Metazoa; Chordata; Mammalia; Artiodactyla; Bovidae.